UACGUAGGGUGCAAGCGUUGUCCGGAAUUAUUGGGCGUAAAGAGCUCGUAGGCGGUUUGUCGCGUCGGCUGUGAAAACUCGGGGCUCAACCCCGAGCCUGCAGUCGAUACGGGCAGACUAGAGUGCUGUAGGGGAGACUGGAAUUCCUGGUGUAGCGGUGAAAUGCGCAGAUAUCAGGAGGAACACCGGUGGCGAAGGCGGGUCUCUGGGCCGUAACUGACGCUGAGGCGCGAAAGCUAGGGGAGCAAACGGG
This 253-nucleotide ribosomal RNA is filed under the name uncultured bacterium. RNAcentral describes it as "partial 16S ribosomal RNA". It matches the Rfam family "Bacterial small subunit ribosomal RNA", at positions 524 to 776 of the family's 1533-position model. The record is from RNAcentral.